CAGUGGGAAUCUUAGACAAUGGGCGCAAGCCUGAUCUAGCCAUGCCGCGUGAGUGAUGAAGGCCUUAGGGUCGUAAAGCUCUUUCGCCAGGGAUGAUAAUGACAGUACCUGGUAAAGAAACCCCGGCUAACUCCGUGCCAGCAGCCGCGGUAAUACGGAGGGGGUUAGCGUUGUUCGGAAUUACUGGGCGUAAAGCGCACGUAGGCGGAUUAGAAAGUUGGGGGUGAAAUCCCGGGGCUCAACCCCGGAACUGCCUCCWAAACUCCUAGUCUAGAGUUCGAGAGAGGUGAGUGGAAUUCCGAGUGUAKAGGUGAAAUUCGUAGAUAUUCGGAGGAACACCAGUGGCGAAGGCGGCUCACUGGCUCGAUACUGACGCUGAKGUGCGAAAGUGUGGGGAGCAAACAGGAUUAGAUACCCUGGUAGUCCACACCGUAAACGAUGAAUGCCAGUCGUCGGGUAGUAUACUAUUCGGUGACACACCUAACGGAUUAAGCAUUCCGCCUGGGGAGUACGGUCGCAAGAUUAAACCA
RNAcentral lists this ribosomal RNA (530 nucleotides) under uncultured Alphaproteobacteria bacterium. Its description in RNAcentral is "bacterial SSU rRNA". It matches the Rfam family "Bacterial small subunit ribosomal RNA", at positions 352 to 901 of the family's 1533-position model. Lineage: Bacteria; Pseudomonadati; Pseudomonadota; Alphaproteobacteria. The record is from RNAcentral.